GGGGUUUGCAAGAAUCUGGGAGCUUGUGUGGUUUUUUUUGAAUUUUUAUGGUUUUCUGUGACCAUUGGGCCAUGUUGUUGUUUUUUGAAAAACUUUUCUGGGUUUUGAAUUUCUGUGUGCUGGGUGGCUGGGGGAACAGCUGGGGAGGGGUUUGCAAGAAUCUGGGAGCUUGUGUGGUUUUUUUUUUGAAUUUUUAUGGUUUUCUGUGACCAUUGGGCCAUGUUGUUGUUUUUUGAAAAACUUUUCUGGGUUUUGAAUUUCUGUGUGCUGGGUGGCUGGGGGAACAGCUGGGGAGGGGUUUGCAAGAAUCUGGGAGCUUGUGUGGUUUUUUUUUGAAUUUUUAUGGUUUUCUGUGACCAUUGGGCCAUGUUGUUGUUUUUUGAAAAAAAAAUCUAGGUUUGAAUUUCUGUGUGCUGGGUGGAUGGGGGAACAGUUGAGGAGGGGUUUGCAACAGUUGGGGAGGGGUUUGCAACAGUUGGAGAGGGGUUUGCAACAGUUGGGGAGGGGCUGGGGGAACAGUUGAGGUUUUUGAAGACUUUGGUGAUUUUUAAAGCUUUCCCAAAACUUCUUUUGCAGCCAUUUGAGGAUUUUGAAGACUUUGGUGAUUUGCAGCCAUUUCGUAAGUUAUAAUAAUAAUAAUAAUAAUAAUUUAUUACGGCCGUAGGCCCAUACAGAUAAAAACAAGACGUAAAUAACAGCCUGUGCACAUGGGGAAAAAAAACAGCCGCUAAAACAAUACUAUAACAAUAAGCUACUAUAAGAUGGAAUGGCAUACUACGCCUUAAUUAGCUUGUGGUGCUCCUUGGCGACGCUUUUGGGUAAGGACAGCGACCAGGAACCUAGCCACUUUCAGGGUCGUAUGGGCAUCCUUAUCCUGCAAGAUUUGGGCAAGGUGG
This is a non-coding RNA of Podarcis lilfordi (Lilford's wall lizard), 896 nucleotides long. NCBI's taxonomy places the organism in Eukaryota, Metazoa, Chordata, Lepidosauria, Squamata, Lacertidae. The record is from the annotation of a GenBank genome assembly.